Molecule: ribosomal RNA, 1539 nt
Filed under: Gammaproteobacteria bacterium
Lineage: Bacteria; Pseudomonadati; Pseudomonadota; Gammaproteobacteria
Also listed under: 1 other name
Description: bacterial SSU rRNA
Rfam family: Bacterial small subunit ribosomal RNA
Source: RNAcentral
UUUAUGAAGAGUUUGAUCCUGGCUCAGAUUGAACGCUGGCGGUAUGCUUAACACAUGCAAGUCGUACGGUAACAGGUCUUUAGGGAUGCUGACGAGUGGCGAACGGGUGAGUAAUGCGUGGGAAUCUGCCUAGAAGAGAGGGACAACUUGAGGAAACUCAAGCUAAUACCUCGUACGCUCUAAGGAGGAAAGCAGGGGAUCUUUUUGACCUUGCGCUUUUGGAUGAGCCCACGUCGGAUUAGUUAGUUGGUGGGAUAAUAGCUUACCAAGACGAUGAUCCGUAGCUGGUCUGAGAGGAUGAUCAGCCACAUUGGGACUGAGACACGGCCCAGACUCUUACGGGAGGCAGCAGUGGGGAAUAUUGGACAAUGGGCGAAAGCCUGAUCCAGCAAUACCGCGUGUGCGAAGAAGGCCUGUGGGUUGUAAAGCACUUUCAGUGGAGAAGAAGAAAUAAUUGGUAAUAUCUUUUAUUUUUGACGUUAUUCAAAGAAGAAGCACCGGCUAACUCUGUGCCAGCAGCCGCGGUAAUACAGAGGGUGCAAGCGUUAAUCGGAAUUAUUGGGCGUAAAGAGUGCGUAGGUGGUUUAUUUAAGUUAGAUGUGAAAUCCCUGGGCUUAACCUAGGAAUUGCGUUUAAUACUAUUUAACUAGAGUAUUGUAGAGGAAAGUGGAAUUUCCGGUGUAGCGGUGAAAUGCGUAGAUAUCGGAAGGAACACCAGUGGCGAAGGCGACUUUCUGGACAAAUACUGACACUGAGGUACGAAAGCGUGGGGAGCAAACAGGAUUAGAUACCCUGGUAGUCCAUGCUGUAAACGAUGAGAACUUGCUGUUAGACAUAUAAAAAUGUUUAGUAGCGUAGCUAACGUGUUAAGUUCUCCGCCUGGGGAGUACGACCGCAAGGUUAAAACUCAAAGGAAUUGACGGGGGCCCGCACAAGCGGUGGAACAUGUGGUUUAAUUCGAUGCAACGCGAAGAACCUUACCUACCCUUGAUCUCUGGAAUUGAAUAGAAAUAUUCAAGUGCCUUUUAGGAACCAGAUGACAGGUGCUGCAUGGCUGUCGUCAGCUCGUGUCGUGAGAUGUUGGGUUAAGUCCCGUAACGAGCGCAACCCUUAUUCUUAGUUACCAUCAAGUUAUGUUGGGGACUCUAAGAAAACUGCCGGCAAUAAACCGGAGGAAGGUGAGGACGACGUCAAGUCAUCAUGGCCUUUAUGGGUAGGGCUACACACGUGUUACAAUGGUUGGUACAAAGGGUCGCUAAGUCGUGAGAUGGUGCAAAUCCUAUAAAACCAAUCGUAGUCCGGAUUGAAGUCUGCAACUCGACUUCAUGAAGUCGGAAUCGCUAGUAAUCGUGGAUCAGAAUGCCACGGUGAAUACGUUCCCGGGCCUUGUACACACCGCCCGUCACACCAUGGGAGUGGGUUGCACCAGAAGUAAUUAGUUUAACUGUAAAGAGGACGAUUACCACGGUGUGGUUCAUGACUGGGGUGAAGUCGUAACAAGGUAGCCGUAGGGGAACCUGCGGCUGGAUCACCUCCUUA